UACAGAGGUCCCAAGCGUUGUUCGGAAUUACUGGGCGUAAAGGGUGCGUAGGCGGGUCUUUAAGUCAGGGGUGAAAUCCUGGAGCUCAACUCCAGAACUGCCUUUGAUACUGAAGAUCUUGAGUUCGGGAGAGGUGAGUGGAACUGCGAGUGUAGAGGUGAAAUUCGUAGAUAUUCGCAAGAACACCAGUGGCGAAGGCGGCUCACUGGCCCGAUACUGACGCUGAGGCACGAAAGCGUGGGGAGCAAACAGG
Molecule: ribosomal RNA, 253 nt
Filed under: uncultured bacterium
Lineage: Bacteria
Description: partial 16S ribosomal RNA
Rfam family: Bacterial small subunit ribosomal RNA
Source: RNAcentral